Molecule: ribosomal RNA, 253 nt
Filed under: uncultured bacterium
Lineage: Bacteria
Description: partial 16S ribosomal RNA
Rfam family: Bacterial small subunit ribosomal RNA
Source: RNAcentral
UACGGAGGGGGCUAGCGUUGUCCGAAGUUACUGGGCGUAAAGCGCGCGUAGGCGGGUUGGUAAGUCCGCUGUGAAAGCCCGGAGCUCAACUCCGGAGGGUCGGUGGAUACUGCCAGUCUUGAAGGUGCUAGGGGGAGAUGGAAUUACCGGUGUAGCGGUGAAAUGCGUAGAUAUCGGGAGGAACACCAGUGGCGAAGGCGGCGAUCUGGGUAGAUACUGACGCUGAGGUGCGAAAGCGUGGGGAGCAAACAGG